AGAAGAUGGGUAUGGUUGGAGACAGGGAUGAGGCAGAGCAUGGGAUGGGGCCAUCAACAAAAUUUCCAAUUUCUGUCCUCCGCUAGGCCGCUACUGCAUUUCUGUUUGCUUGCUCACAAAACGGAGGGAUUUGUGAGAGUUAUCAGGCAGAAAGAACAAAGAAGGUGCCUCCCUGGUGAAGUGGUGAUGGCCUGACCUGAGAGGGCUGAGAGCUCAGCUGGUGUCCUGGUGUUGUUGCUUCCUCCCCUGCACUGCCUCUUCCCUGGCUCCCCACCGUUGCCCUUGC
RNAcentral lists this microRNA precursor (286 nucleotides) under Saccharum officinarum (sugarcane). Its description in RNAcentral is "miR408c stem-loop (sof-MIR408c)". Its record names the gene sof-MIR408c. It matches the Rfam family "MIR408 microRNA precursor family". The record is from miRBase by way of RNAcentral. Lineage: Eukaryota; Viridiplantae; Streptophyta; Magnoliopsida; Poales; Poaceae.